GCCAAACGGGGGGACUGUGGUAUUCGAUGCACGCGAAGACCUUACCUACUCUUGACAUCCAGAGAACUUUCCAGAGAUGGAUUGGUGCCUUCGGGAACUCUGAGACAGGUGCUGCAUGGCUGUCGUCAGCUCGUGUUGUGAAAUGUUGGGUUAAGUCCCGCAACGAGCGCAACCCUUAUCCUUUGUUGCCAGCGGUUCGGCCGGGAACUCAAAGGAGACUGCCAGUGAUAAACUGGAGGAAGGUGGGGAUGACGUCAAGUCAUCAUGGCCCUUACGAGUAGGGCUACACACGUGCUACAAUGGCGUAUACAAAGAGAAGCGACCUCGCGAGAGCAAGCGGACCUCAUAAAGUACGUCGUAGUCCGGAUUGGAGUCUGCAACUCGACUCCAUGAAGUCGGAAUCGCUAGUAAUCGUAGAUCAGAAUGCUACGGUGAAUACGUUCCCGGGCCUUGUACACACCGCCCGUCACACCAUGGGAGUGGGUUGCAAAAGAAGUAGGUAGCUUAACCUUCGGGAGGGCGCUUACCACUUUGUGAUUCAUGACUGGGGUGAAGUCGUAACAGGGGUAGCCGU
Molecule: ribosomal RNA, 574 nt
Filed under: Serratia marcescens
Lineage: Bacteria; Pseudomonadati; Pseudomonadota; Gammaproteobacteria; Enterobacterales; Yersiniaceae
Description: bacterial SSU rRNA
Rfam family: Bacterial small subunit ribosomal RNA
Source: RNAcentral